Long non-coding RNA from Bos taurus (domestic cattle), 1071 nucleotides. The record is from Ensembl. NCBI's taxonomy places the organism in Eukaryota, Metazoa, Chordata, Mammalia, Artiodactyla, Bovidae.
CGCAGACUCGGGGACGCUAGGGAUCGGAGCAUCUCCUUGUACCUUGAAAGGGAGAUGACCGGGUUACCUUACACUGACCUCUGGACAGCUGCCCAUCUGCACCGAGAGAACGCACAAGGCCGCAUUUGUUUGCUUGCAAAAUAUCUGGGUGUUUUCUACACCCGCCUACCUGUCCCCCAACACACACACACACCGGCGGGGGUGGGGGCCUGAGGGAUUAGAGGGAUAGAGUCAGGUCAAUCAGAAGAGAUUAGAGACUGGGCUGGACGUGUCCACUCUGAGGGCCUCUGAAAGUAGGCACUGCAGCUACGCUCCUGGUGCCCCGCCCUCAGGUGACUCGAGAUUGAUUUUUCUUGGUUCGUUAGUUCUGAAAGCCCGGGGCUGUAAAACGUUUGGGUCCAGAAUGAAACUCUGAUCCACGGAAGCUUUCCUUGCCCUGCACUCUCACCCCUGCUGGUGUCUGGAACUGGGCAGACUGGAGGAUUCUAAAGAGUUUGAGGUUGCGUAACCAUCCAGAAACACACGAUAAGAGUCCUCUUUCAGCAAAUAUUCUUGAUUAAGUCAUGAAAAUGGAAUUGGAGCUUAUUUUUCCCCUUUGUAUGUGCCCUAGUCACUUUCCUCUGCACACAUUCCAGUUUUGUUUUAUUUUGAGAAACAAAACUGAGAGUCCUUGGACAGCAAGGAGGUCAAACCAGUCAAUCUUAAGGGAAAUCAACCCUGAACACUCGCUGGAAGGACUGAUGCUGAAGCUGAAACUCCAGUAUUUUGGUCAUCUUUUGCGAACAGCUGACUCACUGGAAAAAAAUCCCUAAUGCUGGGAAAGACUGAGGGCAGAAGAAGAGGGCAUCAGAGGAUGAGAUGGCUGGAUGGCAUGACCGAUGCAACGGACAUGAACUUGGGCAAACUUCGGGAGAUGAUAAUAUAAUCGCAACUUCUCUGUUUACCUGAAAGCCACUCAUAGACAAGUUAAAAAUGUGGAAAGGCCCAUGCGUAUGAACACCUUGCCUGGUCCGACAGAGCCCAUGACUUUCUAUUUAAAAGGUGAUGACCAACCACAGGAAGCUACCUAAA